Molecule: ribosomal RNA, 253 nt
Filed under: uncultured bacterium
Lineage: Bacteria
Description: partial 16S ribosomal RNA
Rfam family: Bacterial small subunit ribosomal RNA
Source: RNAcentral
UACGAAGGGGGCUAGCGUUGUUCGGAAUCACUGGGCGUAAAGCGCGCGUAGGCCGAUUGGUCAGUUGGGGGUGAAAUCCCGGGGCUUAACCUCGGAACUGCCUUCAAUACUGCCAGUCUCGAGUCCGGAAGAGGUGAGUGGAAUUCCUAGUGUAGAGGUGAAAUUCGUCGAUAUUAGGAAGAACACCAGUGGCGAAGGCGGCUCACUGGUCCGGUACUGACGCUGAGGUGCGAAAGCGUGGGGAGCAAACAGG